This 65-nucleotide transfer RNA is filed under the name Ammothea clausi. RNAcentral's name for it is "tRNA-Ser". The record is from RNAcentral. Lineage: Eukaryota; Metazoa; Arthropoda; Pycnogonida; Pantopoda; Ammotheidae.
UCAUUUAACUAUAAAUAUAAGUGUAUAUUUUGAAAAUAUAUAAAAGAUAAUAAUUCUAAUGAUUU